GACGAACGCUGGCGGCGUGCUUAACACAUGCAAGUGGAGCGACGAACCAGGGCUUGCCCUGGGGCAGAGCCGCGAACGGGUGAGUAACACGUGGGUAACGUGCCCCAAUGAUCGGGACAACCCGGGGAAACCCGGGCUAAUACCGCAUAUGCUCCCCUCACACCAGUGAGGGAUGGAAAGGAAGCUUCGGCCUCCGCAUUGGGCUCGGCACGCGGCCCAUUAGCUUGUUGGUGAGGUAACGGCUCACCAAGGCUGCGAUGGGUAGCUGGUGUGAGAGGACGAUCAGCCACACUGGGACUGAGACACGGCCCAGACUCCUACGGGAGGCAGCAGUGGGGAAUCUUGCGCAAUGCGCGAAAGCGUGACGCAGCAACGCCGCGUGGGGGAAGAAGGCCUUCGGGUUGUAAACCCCUUUCAGGAGGGACGAAGCCUUGGCGGUUAAUAGCCGACCGAGGUGACGGUACCUCCAGAAGAAGCCCCGGCUAACUACGUGCCAGCCGCCGCCGUAA
RNAcentral lists this ribosomal RNA (509 nucleotides) under uncultured bacterium. Its description in RNAcentral is "partial 16S ribosomal RNA". It matches the Rfam family "Bacterial small subunit ribosomal RNA", at positions 28 to 523 of the family's 1533-position model. The record is from RNAcentral.